Molecule: long non-coding RNA, 476 nt
Organism: Mauremys mutica (yellowpond turtle)
Lineage: Eukaryota; Metazoa; Chordata; Testudines; Geoemydidae
Exons: 3
Source: RefSeq, a predicted model, not a curated record
AUGCAGGGUAUUGGGCGCUAGAAUGGAGCGGUGUCUGUGGAUGUUCACGGGAUGGGAGAGGGAGGCAGGGAUGAGGGCAAGAUUAAAUGCACCAGUAGUGCUGUGUAGUGAUUGUAUUUGCUUGACUUUAUUAGUUUGCAGAGGAAUCAUCCAGGAGCCCUCGCCGGACGAGAAUAUGCAGAAGUGGACGUGAGCAGCCUGGGCAUCCUUCUGAGGAGACCUCAACAGUCUUCAGGGUCUGCCUUCUGCCUAACUGGCUGUGAGUAAGCGGUUCGGUGUGUCUGACCAGAGUCAUCUGUGCAGAGUGACUAUUUCAGUACCAAGGGAAAAGAAGUGACAAGUCAGAGUCUACUGCCCUCAUGCGAUGGAAAGUGAACGAGAGUGAUGGGACUGCGAGAAUUAUUGAUGCCUUGAAAAAGCCGUCCAACUGGGAAUGGAACAGUCAUCACUGUCAAUGACAUAAGUGUCUGUUUUGG